GGGUUUAGAGUUAAAGGGUGUGGUUUAGGAUUUAGGGUUUAGGGUUUAGUGUUUAGGGUUUAGGGUUUAGAUUUUAGGGUUUAGGGUUUAAGGUUUAGGGUUUAGGGUUUAGAGUUUAGGGUUUAGGGUUUAUGGUUUAGGGUUUAGGGUUUAGAGUUUAGGGUUUAGGGUUGAGAGUUUAGGGUUUAGGGUUUAGAGUUGAGAAAUGAAGUUUUGGGGAUAAGAUUUCAAAUUUUGAAAAAUAAAAAAAUUAAAAUUUUCAAAGGAUAAACUUAGAAAUGUGCUAUUUUGGUAAUUUUAGUUUUUGAGUGCUAUUUUUGUGAUAUAAACUUAGAAAUGUGCUAUUUUAGAGAUUUGCCCA
RNAcentral lists this long non-coding RNA (361 nucleotides) under Brassica napus (rape). Its description in RNAcentral is "long non-coding RNA (BNAP_LNC017100)". Lineage: Eukaryota; Viridiplantae; Streptophyta; Magnoliopsida; Brassicales; Brassicaceae. The record is from RNAcentral.